Molecule: unclassified non-coding RNA, 312 nt
Filed under: Hevea brasiliensis (rubber tree)
Lineage: Eukaryota; Viridiplantae; Streptophyta; Magnoliopsida; Malpighiales; Euphorbiaceae
Source: RNAcentral
GCAAAAUCCUUCAGACAACAAUCAAAACCUACUAAGAUAUUGAAGGGAUUUAUCAAAUAAAUGGAAGUACAGAGAAAACAGAGCUAAUAAGCAACUAACACAACUCAAAAAAAGCUAGAAUUAGUAGUGUACUGUUAAGAAGAUACCAAAUCAUGCCUAGGUAAUACUAGAGCCCAAAAUUGAGAUAUACAAUGUAUCAGCAUGACCAACCACAAGCAGGGUAACACAGGGAAGAAGUUGCCUUCUUAAAGUCACACCCCUGUUUUGCGCAUUUCAGCAUCCCCGUGGGCAAAGUGGCACCUAUCCCCAAAA